Molecule: ribosomal RNA, 894 nt
Filed under: uncultured organism
Description: bacterial SSU rRNA
Rfam family: Bacterial small subunit ribosomal RNA
Source: RNAcentral
GGUAAUACGGAGGAAGCAAGCGUUAUCCGGAUUUAUUGGGGUUUAAAGGGUGCGUAGGCGGGAUAAUAAGUCAGUGGUGAAAUCCUGCGGCUUAACCGUUAGAAUUGUCAUUGAUACUGUUAAUCUUGAGUUCAAGUUGAGGUGGNCGGAAUGUAUAAUGUAGCGGUGAAAUGCUUAGAUAUUAUACAGAACACCGAUUGCGAAGGCAGCUCACUAAGCUGAUACUGACGCUGAGGCACGAAAGCGUGGGGAGCGAACAGGAUUAGAUACCCUGGUAGUCCACGCUGUAAACGAUGAUCACUCGCUGUUGGCAAUACAUCGUCAGCGGCUGAGCGAAAGCAUUAAGUGAUCCACCUGGGGAGUACGUCGGCAACGAUGAAACUCAAAGGAAUUGACGGGGGCCCGCACAAGCGGUGGAACAUGUGGUUUAAUUCGAUGAUACGCGAGGAACCUUACCUGGGCUUAAAUGCAGAACGACGGUUCCCGAAAGGGAUCCUUCUUCGGACGGACUGCAAGGUGCUGCAUGGUUGUCGUCAGCUCGUGCCGUGAGGUGUCGGGUUAAGUCCCAUAACGAGCGCAACCCCUAUUGUUAGUUGCCAGCGAGUAAUGUCGGGGACUCUAACGAAACUGCCGGUGUAAACCGAGAGGAAGGUGGGGAUGACGUCAAAUCAGCACGGCCCUUAUGUCCAGGGCUACACACGUGUUACAAUGGUCGAUACAGAGAGAAGCUACUUGGCGACAAGAUGCUAAUCUCGAAAAUCGUUCUUAGUUCGGAUUGGAGUCUGCAACUCGACUUCAUGAAGCUGGAAUCGCUAGUAAUCGCACAUCAGCCAUGGUGCGGUGAAACGUUCCCGGGCNUUGUACACACCGCCCGUCAAGCCAUGGAAGCCGGGG